This 279-nucleotide ribosomal RNA is filed under the name uncultured bacterium. RNAcentral's name for it is "partial 16S ribosomal RNA". It matches the Rfam family "Bacterial small subunit ribosomal RNA", at positions 506 to 784 of the family's 1533-position model. The record is from RNAcentral.
UGCCAGCCGCCGCGGUAAUACGGAGGGUGCGAGCGUUAAUCGGAAUUACUGGGCGUAAAGAGCGCGUAGGCGGUUACUUAAGUGGGAUGUGAAAGCCCCGGGCUUAACCUGGGAACUGCAUCCCAAACUGGGUAACUAGAGUGCGAUAGAGGGGGGUGGAAUUUCAGGUGUAGCGGUGAAAUGCGUAGAGAUCUGAAGGAACAUCAGUGGCGAAGGCGGCCCCCUGGAUUGACACUGACGCUGAGGCGCGAAAGCGUGGGUAGCAAACAGGAUUAGAUA